This 28-nucleotide non-coding RNA is filed under the name Mus musculus (house mouse). Lineage: Eukaryota; Metazoa; Chordata; Mammalia; Rodentia; Muridae. The record is from RNAcentral.
UAGAAGCUUGAGAGCCCUCUAUGAACGU